This 552-nucleotide ribosomal RNA is filed under the name uncultured fungus. Its description in RNAcentral is "eukaryotic LSU rRNA". The stretch from base 186 to 340 matches the Rfam family "5.8S ribosomal RNA". The record is from RNAcentral. Lineage: Eukaryota; Fungi.
AAGUCGUAACAAGGUCUCCGUUGGUGAACCAGCGGAGGGAUCAUUACUGAGUACUACACUCUCUACCCUUUGUGAACUAUUAUACCUGUUGCUUCGGCGGCGCCCGCAAGGGUGCCCGCCGGUCUCAUCAGAAUCUCUGUUUUCGAACCCGACGAUACUUCUGAGUGUUCUUAGCGAACUGUCAAAACUUUUAACAACGGAUCUCUUGGCUCCAGCAUCGAUGAAGAACGCAGCGAAACGCGAUAUGUAAUGUGAAUUGCAGAAUUCAGUGAAUCAUCGAAUCUUUGAGACGCACAUGGCGCCUUCCAGUAUCCUGGGAGGCAUGCCUGUCCGAGCGUCGUUUCAACCCUCGAGCCCCUGUGGCCCGGCGUUGGGGAUCUGCCACGGCAGGCCCCUAAAACCAGUGGCGGACCCGAAGGGCCCUCUCCUUUGCGCAGUAGCAUUCGCCUCGCAUCGGGAGUCCUCGGCGUCCUGCCUCUAAACCCCCACAAGCCCGCUUCGGCGGCACCAAGGUUGACCUCGGAUCAGGUAGGAAUACCCGCUGAAACUUAA